Molecule: ribosomal RNA, 471 nt
Filed under: uncultured organism
Description: partial 16S ribosomal RNA
Rfam family: Bacterial small subunit ribosomal RNA
Source: RNAcentral
CACUCCUGCGGGAGGCAGCAGUGGGGAAUAUUGCACAAUGGGCGCAAGCCUGAUGCAGCCAUGCCGCGUGUAUGAAGAAGGCCUUCGGGUUGUAAAGUACUUACAGCGGGGAGGAAGGCGAUAAGGUUAAUAACCUUGUUGAUUGACGUUACCCGCAGAAGAAGCACCGGCUAACUCCGUGCCAGCAGCCGCGGUAAUACGGAGGGUGCAAGCGUUAAUCGGAAUUACUAGGCGUAAAGCGCACGCAGGCGGUCUGUCAAGUCGGAUGUGAAAUCCCCGGGCUCAACCUGGGAACUGCAUUCGAAACUGGCAGGCUAGAGUCUUGUAGAGGGGGGUAGAAUUCCAGGUGUAGCGGUGAAAUGCGUAGAGAUCUGGAGGAAUACCGGUGGCGAAGGCGGCCCCCUGGACAAAGACUGACGCUCAGGUGCGAAAGCGUGGGGAGCAAACAGGAUUAGAAACCCGGGUAGUCCC